UCUAAUAUGGCAGAUUAGUGCAAUGAAUUUAAGAUUCAUAUAUAAAAUAUAUUUUUUUUAUUGGAA
RNAcentral lists this transfer RNA (66 nucleotides) under Kikihia ochrina. RNAcentral's name for it is "tRNA-Leu". Lineage: Eukaryota; Metazoa; Arthropoda; Insecta; Hemiptera; Cicadidae. The record is from RNAcentral.